UCCUCGUUGGCUCAGUUGGUAGAGCGCCUCACUAGUAUUUCAGUAUCUUCCGGGAUGUCACAGGCUUAUGAGGAGGUCAGUCGUUCAAAUCGGCUACGAGGAA
This 103-nucleotide transfer RNA is filed under the name Pleurotus eryngii. It matches the Rfam family "tRNA". From Rfam's summary of the family: Transfer RNA (tRNA) molecules are approximately 80 nucleotides in length. Lineage: Eukaryota; Fungi; Basidiomycota; Agaricomycetes; Agaricales; Pleurotaceae. The record is from Rfam by way of RNAcentral.